RNAcentral lists this long non-coding RNA (406 nucleotides) under Carica papaya (papaya). RNAcentral's name for it is "long non-coding RNA (CPAP_LNC003465)". The record is from RNAcentral. Lineage: Eukaryota; Viridiplantae; Streptophyta; Magnoliopsida; Brassicales; Caricaceae.
CUACAUGCAUGACUCAUUUAACAAUCUAACCCAGGUUGAUCCAGAGGGUCAAGGAGGCUUAGUUGAACGAUUCUACCCUAACAGUCAUCAAAAGGGACAUCGAACAGCGUUGCAAGGCAUGAUUCUAAACUUUCGAUGAUGGGUCACUCAGGUUCUAAAAUAGGUUGUGCCUUCCCAAUUAUGAAGAGUUAAAAUGAGAUAUCAUGUCAGAAACUCAUAAUUCAAAGUUUUUCAUACACCCAGGUAGUGCUAAGAUUUACCCAAACGUGAGACCCUGGUUUCGGUGAAACAGUAUGAAAAAGGAUAUUGUCGAGUUCGUCUCUAAGUGCUUCACUUAUCAAUGAGUUAAAACAGAAUAUCAAUGAUCGGGGAGCUUAUUCCAACUACUAUUGAUUCCUAAGUGGAA